CCUACGGGUGGCAGCAGUGAGGAAUAUUGCGCAAUGGGCGAAAGCCUGACGCAGCGACGCCGCGUGAGGGAUGAAGGUCUUCGGAUCGUAAACCUCUGUCAGCAGGGAAGAACGGUCACUGUGCUAAUCAGCAGUGAAUUGACGGUACCUGCAAAGGAAGCACCGGCUAACUCCGUGCCAGCAGCCGCGGUAAUACGGAGGGUGCGAGCGUUAAUCGGAAUUAAUGGGCGUAAAGCGCUCGUAGGCGGUAUGUCAAGUCAAGGGUGAAAUCCCCGCGCUCAACGUGGGAACUGCCUUUGAAACGGGCAAACUGGAGUGUGUGAGAGGAUAGUGGAAGUCCAGGUGUAGGAGUGAAAUCCGUAGAUAUGUGGAGGAACAUCAGUGGCGAAGGCGACUAUCUGGCACAUAACUGACGCUGAGGAGCGAAAGCGUGGGUAGCAAACAGGAUUAGAUACCCGGGUAGUC
Molecule: ribosomal RNA, 465 nt
Filed under: uncultured bacterium
Lineage: Bacteria
Description: partial 16S ribosomal RNA
Rfam family: Bacterial small subunit ribosomal RNA
Source: RNAcentral